This 1310-nucleotide ribosomal RNA is filed under the name Klebsiella quasipneumoniae. RNAcentral describes it as "partial 23S ribosomal RNA". It matches the Rfam family "Bacterial large subunit ribosomal RNA", at positions 1639 to 2925 of the family's 2925-position model. The record is from RNAcentral. Lineage: Bacteria; Pseudomonadati; Pseudomonadota; Gammaproteobacteria; Enterobacterales; Enterobacteriaceae.
AAAUCGUACCCCAAACCGACACAGGUGGUCAGGUAGAGAAUACCAAGGCGCUUGAGAGAACUCGGGUGAAGGAACUAGGCAAAAUGGUGCCGUAACUUCGGGAGAAGGCACGCUGGUGUGUAGGUGAAGUCCCUGCGGAUGGAGCUGAGACCAGUCGAAGAUACCAGCUGGCUGCAACUGUUUAUUAAAAACACAGCACUGUGCAAACACGAAAGUGGACGUAUACGGUGUGACGCCUGCCCGGUGCCGGAAGGUUAAUUGAUGGGGUUAUCCGUAAGGAGAAGCUCUUGAUCGAAGCCCCGGUAAACGGCGGCCGUAACUAUAACGGUCCUAAGGUAGCGAAAUUCCUUGUCGGGUAAGUUCCGACCUGCACGAAUGGCGUAAUGAUGGCCAGGCUGUCUCCACCCGAGACUCAGUGAAAUUGAACUCGCUGUGAAGAUGCAGUGUACCCGCGGCAAGACGGAAAGACCCCGUGAACCUUUACUAUAGCUUGACACUGAACAUUGAGCCUUGAUGUGUAGGAUAGGUGGGAGGCUUUGAAGCGUGGACGCCAGUCUGCGUGGAGCCAACCUUGAAAUACCACCCUUUAAUGUUUGAUGUUCUAACGUUGGCCCCUUAUCGGGGUUGCGGACAGUGUCUGGUGGGUAGUUUGACUGGGGCGGUCUCCUCCCAAAGCGUAACGGAGGAGCACGAAGGUUAGCUAAUCCUGGUCGGACAUCAGGAGGUUAGUGCAAUGGCAUAAGCUAGCUUGACUGCGAGCGUGACGGCGCGAGCAGGUGCGAAAGCAGGUCAUAGUGAUCCGGUGGUUCUGAAUGGAAGGGCCAUCGCUCAACGGAUAAAAGGUACUCCGGGGAUAACAGGCUGAUACCGCCCAAGAGUUCAUAUCGACGGCGGUGUUUGGCACCUCGAUGUCGGCUCAUCACAUCCUGGGGCUGAAGUAGGUCCCAAGGGUAUGGCUGUUCGCCAUUUAAAGUGGUACGCGAGCUGGGUUUAGAACGUCGUGAGACAGUUCGGUCCCUAUCUGCCGUGGGCGCUGGAGAAUUGAGGGGGGCUGCUCCUAGUACGAGAGGACCGGAGUGGACGCAUCACUGGUGUUCGGGUUGUCAUGCCAAUGGCACUGCCCGGUAGCUAAAUGCGGAAGAGAUAAGUGCUGAAAGCAUCUAAGCACGAAACUUGCCCCGAGAUGAGUUCUCCCUGAGACUUUAAGUCUCCUGAAGGAACGUUGAAGACGACGACGUUGAUAGGCCGGGUGUGUAAGCGCAGCGAUGCGUUGAGCUAACCGGUACUAAUGAACCGUGAGGCUUAACCUU